UAACAGCAGCUCUCGUCCUAGAGGGCGAAGAGAGGUGGUAUUUGAGUCCUCCGGUAUCCCAGCAGGCAGUGCAGCCUAGAGACGCUGACAAAGGACUGAAGGAGCAGUCGCAGCCUUGGAGCCGGGUUUGCCGAGAUUGCCAAAAUGCUUUGGAAUUUUUAACUGACUUUAAGGAAAGUCCAAAAUAGAUUUGAGACUGUGAAAAAAGCUGCAGCAAGGGGGAUUCAGUGCCAAUGCAUCAACAAAAAAAACAGCAAGAUUUAGUGGAAGGAAAUCUUCCUGUUUUUGUGUUUCCCACGGAGCUAAUAUUUUAUGCAGAUGACCAGUCAACACAUAAGCAAGUGUUGACUUUAUAUAACCCCUAUGAGUUUGCCUUAAAGUUCAAAGUUUUGUGUACUACUCCAAAUAAGUAUGUUGUCGUUGAUGCUGCAGGUGCAGUAAAGCCUCAGUGUUGUGUGGAUAUUGUGAUUCGUCAUAAAGAUGUUCGAUCCUGUCACUAUGGAGUAAUGGACAAAUUCCGUCUCCAAGUUUCUGAACAAAGCCAGAGGAAGGCUUUAGGAAGGAAAGAGGUUGUGGCCACUCUUCUCCCUUCUGCAAAAGAGCAACAAAAGGAAGAAGAGGAAAAAAGAAUAAAGGAACCAUUAAGUGAUAGCUUAUUUUUUGAGCAGUCAUUUCAACCAGAAAACAGAACUGUCUCCUCAGGACCUAGUUUACUAACUGUCUUCCUGGCAGUGGUGUGCAUUGCAGCUCUGAUGCUUCCUACACUGGGGGAUGUGGAAUCGCUGGUGCCUCUCUACCUCCACUUAAGUGUAAAUCAAAAAUUAGUGGCUGCUUACAUCUUAGGUCUUAUCACAAUGGCUAUAUUUAGAACAUGAGCAAGGAAUUCAAUUGACUUCUGAAAUCUUUUUACAGAAUGAACUUAUGCACUGCUACUGUAGUAUUCUCAAGGAGUAUAUGUAAACACAAAAUGUACGCCUGAGUAUGUACCCGGAGCAGCAAGAGUGGACCCCACCAAGCUCCUUACCUGGGAAUUAUACUCAGCAUGUCAGCAUCAAGCCGCCAUAGCUUUGACCUCUGAGCAUGUGUGAUUUAUUAUCUUGCACCCAUUAGCAAGAUGUGUCUUAAGCACAAAAUCACAAACCAGCUGUCUGCGACUUUCAAAUGUGUCCUUUUUCCCUUGUGUUCAAUGGAGAAUUACCAAGCAUAAGAGCCAUGCCAAGAAAUCAAGUGAAAUGAAG
Myotis myotis is the source of this 1238-nucleotide RNA transcript. It is a transcript of the gene named motile sperm domain containing 1, with no coding region annotated. The record is from RefSeq and is a predicted model, not a curated record. The transcript is spliced from 9 exons. NCBI's taxonomy places the organism in Eukaryota, Metazoa, Chordata, Mammalia, Chiroptera, Vespertilionidae.